GACGAACGCUGGCGGCGUGCUUAACACAUGCAAGUCGAACGGAAAGGCCCUGCUUUUGUGGGGUGCUCGAGUGGCGAACGGGUGAGUAACACGUGAGUAACCUGCCCUGGACGUGGGGAUAACUUCAGGAAACUGGGGCUAAUACCGGAUAGGAGCUCCUGCUGCAUGGUGGGGGUUGGAAAGUUUCGGCGGUUGGGGAUGGACUCGCGGCUUAUCAGCUUGUUGGUGGGGUAGUGGCUUACCAAGGCUUUGACGGGUAGCCGGCCUGAGAGGGUGACCGGCCACAUUGGGACUGAGAUACGGCCCAGACUCCUACGGGAGGCAGCAGUGGGGAAUAUUGCACAAUGGGCGGAAGCCUGAUGCAGCAACGCCGCGUGCGGGAUGACGGCCUUCGGGUUGUAAACCGCUUUCGCCUGUGACGAAGCGUGAGUGACGGUAAUGGGUAAAGAAGCACCGGCUAACUACGUG
Molecule: ribosomal RNA, 468 nt
Filed under: uncultured bacterium
Lineage: Bacteria
Description: partial 16S ribosomal RNA
Rfam family: Bacterial small subunit ribosomal RNA
Source: RNAcentral